Molecule: ribosomal RNA, 272 nt
Filed under: Faecalibacterium prausnitzii
Lineage: Bacteria; Bacillati; Bacillota; Clostridia; Eubacteriales; Oscillospiraceae
Description: partial 23S ribosomal RNA
Rfam family: Bacterial large subunit ribosomal RNA
Source: RNAcentral
AAGGUGAGGCCGGAAGGCGUAGCCGAUGCACAGACGGUAGAGAUUCCGUCACCACCAAAAGAGUUAAGCACAGGGACACAUUUGAAGUCUCAGAGCCGGGUGUUGGUUCCGGUAGAGAUCGAGGGAAGUUAGUACCGAAGUCUGAGAUGGAAGAUGGCGAGAAAAGCUGUGUGUAUUUCUGAGGUGCCCGUACCGCAAACCGACACAGGUAGGUAGGAAGAAGAUUCUAAGGCCAACGGGAGAAGGGUUGUUAAGGAACUCGGCAAAUUGAC